This 312-nucleotide long non-coding RNA is filed under the name Salmo salar (Atlantic salmon). Its description in RNAcentral is "lncRNA (ENSSSAG00000088805.1)". Lineage: Eukaryota; Metazoa; Chordata; Actinopteri; Salmoniformes; Salmonidae. The record is from RNAcentral.
GUGUGGUGGUGCUGGUUAACACUGUGGACUCUCCCAGUGUGGUGGUGUGUUGCUGGUUAACACUGUGGACUCUCCCAGUGUGGUGGUGUGGUGCUGGUUAACACUGUGGACUCUCCCAGUGUGGUGGUGCUGGUUAACACUGUGGACUCUCCCAGUGGUGGAGUGGGUUAACACUGUGGACUCUCCCAGUGUGGUGGUGCUGGUUAACACUGUGGACUCUCCCAGUGUGGUGGUGUAGGUUAACACUGUGGACUCUCCCAGUGUGGUGGUGUGGUGUAGGUUAACACUGUGGACUCUCCCAGUGGUGUGGUG